CUUGCGAUGCGAAGGCUUCGUUGAGUUCGAUGACGUCGAACUGCUCCAGCGUGAGUCCCGUGCGUGCGAGGAGCUUCUUCGUCGCGGGC
RNAcentral lists this transfer RNA (89 nucleotides) under Caballeronia temeraria. Its description in RNAcentral is "tRNA-Val". The record is from RNAcentral. Lineage: Bacteria; Pseudomonadati; Pseudomonadota; Betaproteobacteria; Burkholderiales; Burkholderiaceae.